This 497-nucleotide ribosomal RNA is filed under the name uncultured bacterium. RNAcentral's name for it is "partial 16S ribosomal RNA". It matches the Rfam family "Bacterial small subunit ribosomal RNA", at positions 28 to 507 of the family's 1533-position model. The record is from RNAcentral.
GACGAACGCUGGCGGCGUGCCUAAUACAUGCAAGUUGAGCGCUGAAGGUUGGUACUUGUCCCAACUGGUUGAGCAGCGAACGGGUGAGUAACGCGUGGGGAAUCUGCCUUUGAGCGGGGGACAACAUUUGGAAACGAAUGCUAAUACCGCAUAAAAACUUUAAACACAAGUUUUAAGUUUGAAAGAUGCAAUUGCAUCACUCAAAGAUGAUCCCGCGUUGUAUUAGCUAGUUGGUGAGGUAAAGGCUCACCAAGGCGAUGAUACAUAGCCGACCUGAGAGGGUGAUCGGCCACAUUGGGACUGAGACACGGCCCAAACUCCUACGGGAGGCAGCAGUAGGGAAUCUUCGGCAAUGGACGAAAGUCUGACCGAGCAACGCCGCGUGAGUGAAGAAGGGUUUCGGAUCGUAAAACUCUGUUGGUAGAGAAGAACGUUGGUGAGAGUGGAAAGCUCAUCAAGUGACGGUAACUACCCAGAAAGGGACGGCUAACUACGUG